AGCGAACGUUAGCGGCGCGCCUAACACAUGCAAGUCGCACGAGAAAGGGAGCAAUCCCCGGUACAGUGGCGCACGGGUGAGUAACACGUAGAUGACCUUCCCUGGAGUGGUGGAUAACCUGCCGAAAGGCGGGCUAAUACAGCAUGGGACCACAUGGUUUUGACCGGAGUGGUGAAAGCGGGCCUCUGUUCACAAGCUCGCGCUCUGGGAUGGGUCUGCGUCCCAUCAGCUAGUUGGUGAGGUAAUGGCUCACCAAGGCAUCGACGGGUAGCUGGUCUGAGAGGAUGACCAGCCACACUGGAACUGAGACACGGUCCAGACUCCUACGGGAGGCAGCAGUGGGGAAAUCUUGCGCAAUGGGCGAAAGCCUGACGCAGCGACGCCGCGUGGGUGAUGAAGGCCUCGG
Molecule: ribosomal RNA, 406 nt
Filed under: uncultured bacterium
Lineage: Bacteria
Description: bacterial SSU rRNA
Rfam family: Bacterial small subunit ribosomal RNA
Source: RNAcentral